This 342-nucleotide ribosomal RNA is filed under the name uncultured prokaryote. Its description in RNAcentral is "bacterial SSU rRNA". It matches the Rfam family "Bacterial small subunit ribosomal RNA", at positions 8 to 352 of the family's 1533-position model. The record is from RNAcentral.
AGAGUUUGAUCCUGGCUCAGAUUGAACGCUGGCGGCAUGCUUUACACAUGCAAGUCGAACGGCAGCACGGGGGCAACCCUGGUGGCGAGUGGCGAACGGGUGAGUAAUGCAUCGGAACGUAUCCUUGAGUGGGGGAUAACGCAGCGAAAGUUGUGCUAAUACCGCAUGAGCCCUGAGGGGGAAAGCGGGGGAUCUUCGGACCUCGCGCUAAGAGAAGAGCCUACGUCUGAUUAGCUAGUUGGUAGGGUAAAGGCCUACCAAGGCGACGAUCAGUAGCUGGUCGGAGAGGACGAUCAGCCACACUGGCACUGAGACACGGGCCAGACUCCUACGGGAGGCGAC